GGGGAAUAUUGGGCAAUGGGCGAAAGCCUGACCCAGCGACGCCGCGUGGGGGAAGAAGUCCCUCGGGAUGUAAACCCUUGUCGUACGGGACGAAGGAAGUGACGGUACCGUACGAGGAAGCCCCGGCAAACUACGUGCCAGCAGCCGCGGUAAUACGUAGGGGGCGAGCGUUGUCCGGAAUCACUGGGCGUAAAGCGCACGUAGGCGGGCUGUUAAGUCGGCCGUGAAAGGCACUGGCUCAACCGGUGUUUGUCGGUCGAUACUGGCAGUCGGGAGUAUGGGAGAGGGAACUGGAAGUCCCAGUGUAGCGGUGAAGUGCGUAGAUAUCGGGAGGAACACCAGUGGCGAAGGCGGGUUCCUGGACGAUGACUGACGCUGAGG
RNAcentral lists this ribosomal RNA (381 nucleotides) under uncultured bacterium. Its description in RNAcentral is "bacterial SSU rRNA". It matches the Rfam family "Bacterial small subunit ribosomal RNA", at positions 356 to 751 of the family's 1533-position model. The record is from RNAcentral.